CAGUCGUACCGGCGGAUAAUCAGCCUUUCGGGUGCGAUUCUGUGGGGCGUGAGGAGCUUAACCGCCUUCAUGUUUUGCAUAUUCGUGCACAUUUGGUGUACUUGUCCGUGUGGUGGGUUAACAUCAAUUUCGGUCGUCAUAAAAUGAUUGGGAGGAGUGUAGCUUUAAUCUCGUAUUGAAGUGUUAUAGCCUCUGGUAGAUGCGGUGACCGAAACUGAGGAUUGCAACG
Molecule: ribosomal RNA, 229 nt
Filed under: Rhizophagus irregularis
Lineage: Eukaryota; Fungi; Glomeromycota; Glomeromycetes; Glomerales; Glomeraceae
Source: RNAcentral